AAGUUUUACUAGUUUGCUAAAAGACAGUGUGGUGUUCUCAUGCUUCCAAGCCUUACGAAUAAAGUUAGAAGGUCAUUAGAGAGGUGGAGAGAACACUGCACCAGGAGUCAGGACACCUACUUGCUUAGGUCUGUCUCUCUCCUCUACAAGGCCUGCCAUUAAAAUAGUCAUUUGGUGAAACGUUUUUGUGCCUCAUUUCCUUUUCUGAAAGAAAUGAGGAGUUAUGCUAGCUGUAUCCUUUCCAGUUUUCAUGAUCUGUGAAUCUAAAUCUGUUCACAAAAUAUCCUUAAAAAUGAUUUCUUUUUUCCCUUCUUCAGUAAGAUAAACCUUUUUUUUUCCCAGUCAAUGAUAUCAAGGAUCAUAAACCUGAUUUGCCACAAAACUUGUCAAGAGUCUGACCAUAAAAAUACUCUUAGGAAGCCUAUAUGCAAGUACUUUUGACUGCCUCCUGCACAGGAAGGGAAACAAAGUUUCUCCAAAGGUGUGCGUGUGUGUUCUUGUUUGAGCAGUUGCUGACAGGAGCUGGGGAACUGAGCCUGAUAAAGCUGCAGGAGGGCUGUGCAGGCAUAACCUUUACUUCAAGCAGGAAAACCACCAUAAAAAAAGAAUUGGGCUCGGCUGGGCAAAGCUGGAAGCAGGACUGUCCGGUAAUGUCCAACAUGUGGUAUUAUUUAAGGCUGAAUCCCCCAGGGCUGGGAACCAUAGUGCUAUUGGAAUAUUGUGAUUUGCCAAGAUCGCCCUGGUCGGGGGUGGGGUCAGAGCGGGAGACUGCACUCUUGUGGGUGAGAGGUCAGAUUUCCCCUGAAGGGAGGGGUGUUUGCACUCCCAGGCAUCGUGGGAAGAGUCGGAUCCUGGGGUCAGGAAAGAGGAAAGAGUCUUAAACAGGGUACUCCUUGAAGAUAGAGAAGGGUCACUUCUGUGUCUGUCAGUAUCGUUCAUGUUGGCUCAGAAGCCAUAGUGAAAGUUCCGUGAUUCUGAAUGGUCCUCAGUUCCAGGGCUCCUGCCCACACUCCACACACCGUGAACAUCUGAUGCCCUUGCAGCUUCGCUUAUUCCUGAAGGCCUGGGAGAGCCCCUGCAGCAUGUCUGGCUUCAUCAACGUUAUCAAGAAAGUAGUGGGUGGAUAAAUAUUAACUUGGGAAUGACUUGGAUUCAGAGUCUCUAGACACCACUUAUUUGCAUUUCUUGGCCAAACCAAUACUGCCCUCCACUUACUUGUUCCUUUACUAUUUUCCAAGGAUCUGGUGGGAAGGACAUAAGAGAAAGGAUGUGGAAGUGAUCAAUAUACUACGAAGCAUUAUUCAUGCCCAUCUGCUCCUGCCUCAGGCCCUUUGCACUAGCUGUUUCUCUGCCCAGAAUCCUCUUACAUCCUAAUGGUUGUACCCUUACUUUCUUCAAGUGUCUGCCAAUUGUCACUUCAUCGGAGAGCCCUUCUCUGGCUUCUUUGUGCAAAACAGAGAUCUUCCCAAUCCACGAUUUUUGGCACUUGUCCCAACCCCGCUUUGUUUCUCUCCAGAGUCCUUGCUACCAUCUGACAUAUAUAUAUUGGACAUUUUUUAAUUGACUCCAUAAGGAGGGAGAUCUGGAGCUCUUUUAUUCAUUGCUAUCUAUCUCCCUAGGGUCUAGAACAGUGCCUGACACAUAGUAAGCACUCAAUAAAUAUUGUUGAAUGAAUGCA
This 1678-nucleotide long non-coding RNA is filed under the name Sus scrofa (pig). RNAcentral's name for it is "lncRNA (ENSSSCG00065076612.1)". Lineage: Eukaryota; Metazoa; Chordata; Mammalia; Artiodactyla; Suidae. The record is from RNAcentral.